ACACGUGGAUAACCUACCUAUAAGACUGGGAUAACUUCGGGAAGCCGGAGCUAAUACCGGAUAAUAUAUUGAACCGCAUGGUUCAAUGGUGAAAGACGGUUUGCUGUCACUUAUAGAUGGAUCCGCGCCGCAUUAGCUAGUUGGUAAGGUAACGGCUUACCAAGGCAACGAUGCGGUAGCCGACCUGAGAGGGUGAUCGGCCACACUGGAACUGAGACACGGUCCAGACUCCUACGGGAGGCAGCAGUA
This 249-nucleotide ribosomal RNA is filed under the name uncultured Staphylococcus sp. RNAcentral describes it as "partial 16S ribosomal RNA". It matches the Rfam family "Bacterial small subunit ribosomal RNA", at positions 113 to 355 of the family's 1533-position model. Lineage: Bacteria; Bacillati; Bacillota; Bacilli; Caryophanales; Staphylococcaceae. The record is from RNAcentral.